GACGAACCCACUCAAACGUUAUUCGGAAUCACUGGGCUUAAAGGGUGCGUAGGCGGCGCGGAGGGUGGGAUGUGAAAUCCCCCGGCUUAACCGGGGAAUUGCGUCCCAAACCGCCGUGCUCGAGGAAGAUAGAGGUGAGCGGAACAGAUGGUGGAGCGGUGAAAUGCGUUGAUAUCAUCUGGAACACCCGUGGCGAAAGCGGCUCACUGGGUCUUCUCUGACGCUGAGGCACGAAAGCUAGGGUAGCGAACGGGAUUAGAAACCCCGGUAGU
This 272-nucleotide ribosomal RNA is filed under the name uncultured bacterium. RNAcentral's name for it is "partial 16S ribosomal RNA". It matches the Rfam family "Bacterial small subunit ribosomal RNA", at positions 524 to 794 of the family's 1533-position model. The record is from RNAcentral.